Molecule: ribosomal RNA, 400 nt
Filed under: phytoplankton environmental sample
Lineage: Eukaryota
Description: partial small subunit ribosomal RNA
Rfam family: Eukaryotic small subunit ribosomal RNA
Source: RNAcentral
AGCUCCAAUAGCGUAUAUUAAUUUUGUUGCAGUUAAAAAGCUCGUAGUUGGAUUUGUGGUAGUCUUGAGGGGUCUGGCAUUCGUGCUGGCACUUUUUCGAGUCGCCAUCCUUGGGUGGAAUCUGUGUGGCAUUAGGUUGUCGUGCAGGGGAUGCCCAUCGUUUACUGUGAAAAAAUUAGAGUGUUCAAAGCAGGCUUAGGCCGUUGGAUACAUUAGCAUGGAAUAAUGAGAUAGGGCCACGGCGGUCUAUUUUGUUGGUUUGCACGUUGUGGUAAUGAUUAACAGGAACGGUUGGGGGUAUUCGUAUUCAAUUGUCAGAGGUGAAAUUCUUGGAUUUGUGGAAGACGAACUACUGCGAAAGCAUUUACCAAGGAUGUUUUCAUUAAUCAAGAACGAAAGU